This 499-nucleotide ribosomal RNA is filed under the name uncultured bacterium. RNAcentral describes it as "partial 16S ribosomal RNA". It matches the Rfam family "Bacterial small subunit ribosomal RNA", at positions 28 to 507 of the family's 1533-position model. The record is from RNAcentral.
GACGAACGCUGGCGGCGUGCCUAAUACAUGCAAGUCGAGCGAAGUUUUUCUGGUGCUUGCACCGGAAAAACUUAGCGGCGAACGGGUGAGUAACACGUAAAGAACCUGCCUCAUAGACUGGGACAACUAUUGGAAACGAUAGCUAAUACCGGUUAAUAGCAUUAACUGCAUGGUUGAUGUUUAAAAGUUGGUUUUGCUAACACUAUGAGAUGGCUUUGCGGUGCAUUAGCUAGUUGGUGGGGUAAAGGCCUACCAAGGCGACGAUGCAUAGCCGACCUGAGAGGGUGAUCGGCCACACUGGGACUGAGACACGGCCCAGACUCCUACGGGAGGCAGCAGUAGGGAAUCUUCCGCAAUGGGCGAAAGCCUGACGGAGCAACGCCGCGUGAGUGAAGAAGGAUUUCGGUUCGUAAAGCUCUGUUGUUAGGGAAGAAUGAUUGUGUAGUAACUAUACACAGUAGAGACGGUACCUAACCAGAAAGCCACGGCUAACUACGUG